Small nucleolar RNA from Rattus norvegicus (Norway rat), 128 nucleotides. Ensembl annotates it as small nucleolar RNA SNORA17. Lineage: Eukaryota; Metazoa; Chordata; Mammalia; Rodentia; Muridae. The record is from Ensembl.
CCUGCCCCUAAGGCUUUAUGGAUGUGACUACUAUGUCACAUGUUCAUCAGUAAGUGGCAGAGGAGAGAGGAUAUGUCCAUGUUCAGUGUUCUGACCUGUGACCACAGAAUGAUUAGUAGCCCAAUGCU